RNAcentral lists this ribosomal RNA (446 nucleotides) under uncultured bacterium. RNAcentral's name for it is "bacterial SSU rRNA". It matches the Rfam family "Bacterial small subunit ribosomal RNA", at positions 30 to 524 of the family's 1533-position model. The record is from RNAcentral.
AUUGAACGCUGGCGGCAGGCCUAACACAUGCAAGUCGAACGCACCGCAAGGUGAGUGGCGCACGGGUGAGUAACACGUGGGAAUGUACCCUUUGGUUCGGAAUAACGUUUGGAAACGAACGCUAAUACCGGAUGAGCCCUGUGGGGGAAAGAUUUAUCGCCAAAGGAGCAGCCCGCGUCUGAUUAGCUAGUUGGUGGGGUAAAGGCCUACCAAGGCGACGAUCAGUAGCUGGUCUGAGAGGAUGAUCAGCCACACUGGGACUGAGACACGGCCCAGACCCCUACGGGAGGCAGCAGUGGGGGAAUAUUGGACAAUGGGCGGAAGCCUGAUCCAGCCAUGCCGCGUGAGUGAUGAAGGCCUCGGUUGUAAGCUCUUUUGUCCAGGGAAGAUGAUGACUGUACCUGGAGAAUAAGCCCGGCUAACUUCGUGCCAGCAGCCGCGGUAAU